AACUUUUGGCAACGGAUCUCUUGGCUCUCCUAUCGCUGAAGAACGCAGCGAAAUGCGAUAAGUAAUGUGAAUUGCAGAAUUCAGUGAAUCAUCGAAUCUUUGAACGCACCUUGCGCCCUUUGGUAUUCCGAAGGGCAUGCCUGUUUGAGUGUCAUUAAAUUAUCAACCUUGCUCGCUUUUACCGGCUUGAGUUAGGCUUGGAUGUGAGGGCUUUGCUGGCUUCCUUCAGUGGAUGGUCUGCUCCCUUUAAAUGCAUUAGUGGGAUCUCUUGUGGACCGUCACUUGGUGUGAUAAUUAUCUAUGCCAUCUUGACUUUGAAGCAAAACUUAUGGGAGCCCGCUCAUAACCGUCUUCGGACAAUCUUUGACAUUUUGACCUCAAAUCAGGUAGGACUACCCGCUGAACUUAAGCAUAUCAAUAAGCGGAGGCU
This 430-nucleotide unclassified non-coding RNA is filed under the name uncultured Mycena. RNAcentral describes it as "sequence contains ITS2". The stretch from base 1 to 154 matches the Rfam family "5.8S ribosomal RNA". The record is from RNAcentral. Lineage: Eukaryota; Fungi; Basidiomycota; Agaricomycetes; Agaricales; Tricholomataceae.